GACGAACGCUGGCGGCGUGCCUAAUACAUGCAAGUAGAACGCUGAAGGAGGAGCUUGCUCUUCUGGAUGAGUUGCGAACGGGUGAGUAACGCGUAGGUAACCUGCCUGGUAGCGGGGGAUAACUAUUGGAAACGAUAGCUAAUACCGCAUAACAGUAGAUGUUGCAUGACAUUUACUUAAAAGGUGCAAUUGCAUCACUACCAGAUGGACCUGCGUUGUAUUAGCUAGUUGGUGGGGUAACGGCUCACCAAGGCGACGAUACAUAGCCGACCUGAGAGGGUGAUCGGCCACACUGGGACUGAGACACGGCCCAGACUCCUACGGGAGGCAGCAGUAGGGAAUCUUCGGCAAUGGACGGAAGUCUGACCGAGCAACGCCGCGUGAGUGAAGAAGGGUUUCGGAUCGUAAAGCUCGGUUGUAAGAGAAGAACGAGUGUGAGAGUGGAAAGUUCACACUGUGACGGUAUCUUACCAGAAAGGGACGGCUAACUACGUG
This 495-nucleotide ribosomal RNA is filed under the name uncultured bacterium. Its description in RNAcentral is "partial 16S ribosomal RNA". It matches the Rfam family "Bacterial small subunit ribosomal RNA", at positions 28 to 507 of the family's 1533-position model. The record is from RNAcentral.